Long non-coding RNA from Acinonyx jubatus (cheetah), 901 nucleotides. RefSeq lists it as uncharacterized. The transcript is spliced from 4 exons. The record is from RefSeq and is a predicted model, not a curated record. NCBI's taxonomy places the organism in Eukaryota, Metazoa, Chordata, Mammalia, Carnivora, Felidae.
GAAAUGGUUAACUACUGUGGAUUAUGGUUGCUUGGAACAUAGAAAGUGGUUUAUUUUCCAUUUACCGAGGAGACAGAGAACAACUAAUGGCAAACUUAAGAAAACAAACCUAAAAUAGCAUCAAGCAACCUACUUUCUACUUUUGGAAUCGCCCAAGAGCCAAAGGUGAAGACCUGACUUUCAUAAAAUAAACAUGUUUUAUUUGUAGGUACAUGGUUGCGUACUUUACAAAGUGAACAGCCAGCUCUACGCAGCGGUCCAGGUAUCGACAGUGGGAAACUGUCAGAAACAGCAUGAGAAUGCUCCAUUUUUACUGAUAUUCCUGAAUCUUCUUGCCUCUCUGGACAUAAAGUGGACCAAGUGGUACUGACUCAGUGAAGGCUCUUGACUACUGCUGUUUGUAUGGAAGCCGUAUCUCUAUAGCCUGUAAGUCAGGGAAGCAGGAAAGGGCUGCUGACAGGAAUGGACUGGGCUGUUUUCUCAAAAAAAAAAAAAAAAUUACUUGGCCUUGCCUUCAGGAAUACCUCCAUCCUUGUGGAAGACUCCUUAAUUUUUCCUAAGACGUGAUAACCUUAGCCCACCUGCCUGUUCAAGAUGAUGAAUUGAAUUUGGCAACACAGAAGAGCUACAGUCUAGGAGUCCAGGUCCUGAUCUCAUGGUUUUGUGAGUUUGAGCCCCACAUCGAGUUCUGCACAGACAGUUUGGAGUCUGCUUGGGAUUCUCUCUCUCCUUCUCUCUCUCUGCCCCUCCCCAUUUGUGCUGUCUCUGUCUCUCUCAAAAUAAAUAAAUAAAAACUUAAAAAAAAUUAUAUCUCAAUUCUUUUGUAUUUGCUAAAUGGGUCUUUUUAUGUUUAAUGGCUCAUAUUCUCUAUCUGUAAAAUGUGAAUAUAAAUAAUUCCAAC